Molecule: transfer RNA, 75 nt
Filed under: Mycobacteroides abscessus
Lineage: Bacteria; Bacillati; Actinomycetota; Actinomycetes; Mycobacteriales; Mycobacteriaceae
Description: tRNA-Glu
Rfam family: tRNA
About the family: Transfer RNA (tRNA) molecules are approximately 80 nucleotides in length. Their secondary structure includes four short double-helical elements and three loops (D, anti-codon, and T loops). Further hydrogen bonds mediate the characteristic L-shaped molecular structure. tRNAs have two regions of fundamental functional importance: the anti-codon, which is responsible for specific mRNA codon recognition, and the 3' end, to which the tRNAs corresponding amino acid is attached (by aminoacyl-tRNA synthetases). tRNAs cope with the degeneracy of the genetic code in two manners: having more than one tRNA (with a specific anti-codon) for a particular amino acid; and 'wobble' base-pairing, i.e. permitting non-standard base-pairing at the 3rd anti-codon position.
Source: RNAcentral
GUCGCGGUGGAGUAAUGGUAUCUCGCUAGGCUCUCAACCUAGAGAUUGCGGGUUCGACCCCCGUCCGUGAUACUA